RNAcentral lists this ribosomal RNA (465 nucleotides) under Vreelandella stevensii. RNAcentral's name for it is "partial 16S ribosomal RNA". It matches the Rfam family "Bacterial small subunit ribosomal RNA", at positions 338 to 795 of the family's 1533-position model. The record is from RNAcentral. Lineage: Bacteria; Pseudomonadati; Pseudomonadota; Gammaproteobacteria; Oceanospirillales; Halomonadaceae.
CCUACGGGGGGCAGCAGUGGGGAAUAUUGGACAAUGGGGACAACCCUGAUCCAGCCAUGCCGCGUGUGUGAAGAAGGCCCUCGGGUUGUAAAGCACUUUCAGUGAGGAAGAACGCCUGGUGGUUAAUACCCAUCAGGAAAGACAUCACUCACAGAAGAAGCACCGGCUAACUCCGUGCCAGCAGCCGCGGUAAUACGGAGGGUGCGAGCGUUAAUCGGAAUUACUGGGCGUAAAGCGCGCGUAGGUGGCUUGAUAAGCCGGUUGUGAAAGCCCCGGGCUCAACCUGGGAACGGCAUCCGGAACUGUCAAGCUAGAGUGCAGGAGAGGAAGGUAGAAUUCCCGGUGUAGCGGUGAAAUGCGUAGAGAUCGGGAGGAAUACCAGUGGCGAAGGCGGCCUUCUGGACUGACACUGACACUGAGGUGCGAAAGCGUGGGUAGCAAACAGGAUUAGAUACCCUUGUAGUC